CUACACUAGGUGGGGAGUUAGCGGUGCCCUGUACUUGCAAUCCGCUGCAGCAAGACUGAAUUCCCACUUUGAGGCUGGUAAAAUUAAGGUUUGCACCCAUACUUGGAUGUUGAGAGUUGGGCUUCGUGCAAUCAUACCUUACAAACUCCACCAGGUGCGAGAGCAAGCAGUGGUAAGUAAGUGCUAUGAUGUGCCCCGAAACUACCUGGCUUGAGUUCACUUAUGGGAAAGCAUUUGAUUUUAUCAUGUCGAUGGUGGGUGUGUAG
Molecule: non-coding RNA, 266 nt
Organism: Anaerofustis stercorihominis DSM 17244
Lineage: Bacteria; Bacillati; Bacillota; Clostridia; Eubacteriales; Eubacteriaceae
Rfam family: Bacterial large signal recognition particle RNA
About the family: The signal recognition particle (SRP) is a universally conserved ribonucleoprotein involved in the co-translational targeting of proteins to membranes. Archaeal SRP consists of a 7S RNA and homologues of the eukaryotic SRP19 and SRP54 proteins. In most bacteria, the SRP consists of a 4.5S RNA and the Ffh protein (a homologue of the eukaryotic SRP54 protein).
Source: Rfam